This 301-nucleotide small nuclear RNA is filed under the name Castor canadensis (American beaver). RNAcentral describes it as "7SK RNA (ENSCCNG00000015379.1)". It matches the Rfam family "7SK RNA". From Rfam's summary of the family: 7SK was discovered as an abundant small nuclear RNA in the mid-70s but a possible function has only recently been suggested. Lineage: Eukaryota; Metazoa; Chordata; Mammalia; Rodentia; Castoridae. The record is from Rfam by way of RNAcentral.
GGAUAUGGCUGUAGCAUGCUGUGACCUCUGUUACCCCAUUGAUUUGGCUGAUCUGGCUGUCUAGGCAGGUGUCCCUUUCCUCCAUCACUGCUCCAUGUGUGUCCCUCCUGAAGCUGCACGCUUGAUGGAAGAGGACAACGACCAUUCCCUAUAGAGGAGAGUUCUUCAGUUAAGGGUAAAAAAAUAGCUGCACUGUCCUUCUAGAGCAUCCAAACAAGCUACUAUCAAUAAUUUAUAUCUUGCAUCUACUUCUGCGACAUCUUACUUUUCAUUAAGGGUUAGAUAGAGAUUGCUAAUGUUU